Molecule: ribosomal RNA, 292 nt
Filed under: uncultured bacterium
Lineage: Bacteria
Description: partial 16S ribosomal RNA
Rfam family: Bacterial small subunit ribosomal RNA
Source: RNAcentral
GUGCCAGCAGCCGCGGUAAUACGUAGGGGGCAAGCGUUGUCCGGAUUUAUUGGGCGUAAAGAGCGUGUAGGCGGCCAGAUAGGUCAGCUGUGAAAACUCGAGGCUCAACCUCGAGAUGUCGGCUGAAACCAUCUGGCUAGAGUCCGGAAGAGGAGAAUGGAAUUCCCGGUGUAGCGGUGAAAUGCGCAGAUAUCGGGAAGAACACCCGUGGCGAAGGCGGUUCUCUGGGACGGUACUGACGCUGAGACGCGAAAGCGUGGGGAGCGAACAGGAUUAGAAACCCCCGUAGUCC